GGUUAAGCGACUAAGCGUACACGGUGGAUGCCCUGGCAGUCAGAGGCGAUGAAGGACGUGCUAAUCUGCGAAAAGCGUCGGUAAGGUGAUAUGAACCGUUAUAACCGGCGAUGUCCGAAUGGGGAAACCCAGUGCAAUUCGUUGCACUAUCGUUAACUGAAUACAUAGGUUAACGAGGCGAACCGGGGGAACUGAAACAUCUAAGUACCCCGAGGAAAAGAAAUCAACCGAGAUUCCCCCAGUAGCGGCGAGCGAACGGGGAGCAGCCCAGAGUCUGAAUCAGCUUGUGUGUUAGUGGAACGGUCUGGAAAGUCCGACGGUACAGGGUGAUAGUCCCGUACACCAAAAUGCACAGGUUGUGAACUCGAAGAGUAGGGCGGGACACGUGGUAUCCUGUCUGAAUAUGGGGGGACCAUCCUCCAAGGCUAAAUACUCCUGACUGACCGAUAGUGAACCAGUACCGUGAGGGAAAGGCGAAAAGAACCCCGGCGAGGGGAGUGAAAAAGAACCUGAAACCGUGUACGUACAAGCAGUGGGAGCACCUUCGGGUGUGACUGCGUACCUUUUGUAUAAUGGGUCAGCGACUUAUAUUCUGUAGCAAGGUUAACCGUAUAGGGGAGCCGCAGGGAAACCGAGUCUUAACUGGGCGUUAAGUUGCAGGGUAUAGACCCGAAACCCGGUGAUCUAGCCAUGGGCAGGUUGAAGGUUGGGUAACACUAACUGGAGGACCGAACCGACUAAUGUUGAAAAAUUAGCGGAUGACUUGUGGCUGGGGGUGAAAGGCCAAUCAAACCGGGAGAUAGCUGGUUCUCCCCGAAAGCUAUUUAGGUAGCGCCUCGUGAACUCAUCUUCGGGGGUAGAGCACUGUUUCGGCUAGGGGGUCAUCCCGACUUACCAACCCGAUGCAAACUACGAAUACCGAAGAAUGUUAUCACGGGAGACACACGGCGGGUGCUAACGUCCGUCGUGAAGAGGGAAACAACCCAGACCGCCAGCUAAGGUCCCAAAGUCAUGGUUAAGUGGGAAACGAUGUGGGAAGGCACAGACAGCCAGGAUGUUGGCUUAGAAGCAGCCAUCAUUUAAAGAAAGCGUAAUAGCUCACUGGUCGAGUCGGCCUGCGCGGAAGAUGUAACGGGGCUAAACCAUGCACCGAAGCUGCGGCAGCGACACUAUGUGUUGUUGGGUAGGGGAGCGUUCUGUAAGCCUGCGAAGGUGUGCUGUGAGGCAUGCUGGAGGUAUCAGAAGUGCGAAUGCUGACAUAAGUAACGAUAAAGCGGGUGAAAAGCCCGCUCGCCGGAAGACCAAGGGUUCCUGUCCAACGUUAAUCGGGGCAGGGUGAGUCGACCCCUAAGGCGAGGCCGAAAGGCGUAGUCGAUGGGAAACAGGUUAAUAUUCCUGUACUUGGUGUUACUGCGAAGGGGGACGGAGAAGGCUAUGUUAGCCGGGCGACGGUUGUCCCGGUUUAAGCAUGUAGGCUGAUUGUCCAGGCAAAUCCGGAUAAUCAAGGCUGAGGUGUGAUGACGAGGCACUACGGUGCUGAAGUAACAAAUGCCCUGCUUCCAGGAAAAGCCUCUAAGCAUCAGGUAACAUUAAAUCGUACCCCAAACCGACACAGGUGGUCAGGUAGAGAAUACCAAGGCGCUUGAGAGAACUCGGGUGAAGGAACUAGGCAAAAUGGUGCCGUAACUUCGGGAGAAGGCACGCUGGUGUGUAGGUGAAGUCCCUGCGGAUGGAGCUGAGACCAGUCGAAGAUACCAGCUGGCUGCAACUGUUUAUUAAAAACACAGCACUGUGCAAACACGAAAGUGGACGUAUACGGUGUGACGCCUGCCCGGUGCCGGAAGGUUAAUUGAUGGGGUUAUCCGUAAGGAGAAGCUCUUGAUCGAAGCCCCGGUAAACGGCGGCCGUAACUAUAACGGUCCUAAGGUAGCGAAAUUCCUUGUCGGGUAAGUUCCGACCUGCACGAAUGGCGUAAUGAUGGCCAGGCUGUCUCCACCCGAGACUCAGUGAAAUUGAACUCGCUGUGAAGAUGCAGUGUACCCGCGGCAAGACGGAAAGACCCCGUGAACCUUUACUAUAGCUUGACACUGAACAUUGAGCCUUGAUGUGUAGGAUAGGUGGGAGGCUUUGAAGCGUGGACGCCAGUCUGCGUGGAGCCAACCUUGAAAUACCACCCUUUAAUGUUUGAUGUUCUAACGUUGGCCCCUGACCGGGGUUGCGGACAGUGUCUGGUGGGUAGUUUGACUGGGGCGGUCUCCUCCCAAAGCGUAACGGAGGAGCACGAAGGUUAGCUAAUCCUGGUCGGACAUCAGGAGGUUAGUGCAAUGGCAUAAGCUAGCUUGACUGCGAGCGUGACGGCGCGAGCAGGUGCGAAAGCAGGUCAUAGUGAUCCGGUGGUUCUGAAUGGAAGGGCCAUCGCUCAACGGAUAAAAGGUACUCCGGGGAUAACAGGCUGAUACCGCCCAAGAGUUCAUAUCGACGGCGGUGUUUGGCACCUCGAUGUCGGCUCAUCACAUCCUGGGGCUGAAGUAGGUCCCAAGGGUAUGGCUGUUCGCCAUUUAAAGUGGUACGCGAGCUGGGUUUAGAACGUCGUGAGACAGUUCGGUCCCUAUCUGCCGUGGGCGCUGGAGAAUUGAGGGGGCUGCUCCUAGUACGAGAGGACCGGAGUGGACGCAUCACUGGUGUUCGGGUUGUCAUGCCAAUGGCACUGCCCGGUAGCUAAAUGCGGAAGAGAUAAGUGCUGAAAGCAUCUAAGCACGAAACUUGCCCCGAGAUGAGUUCUCCCUGAGACUUUAAGUCUCCUGAAGGAACGUUGAAGACGACGACGUUGAUAGGCCGGGUGUGUAAGCGCAGCGAUGCGUUGAGCUAACCGGUACUAAUGAACCGUGAGGCUUAACCUU
RNAcentral lists this ribosomal RNA (2900 nucleotides) under Klebsiella pneumoniae. RNAcentral describes it as "23S ribosomal RNA". It matches the Rfam family "Bacterial large subunit ribosomal RNA". RNAcentral also lists the same sequence under 1 other name. Lineage: Bacteria; Pseudomonadati; Pseudomonadota; Gammaproteobacteria; Enterobacterales; Enterobacteriaceae. The record is from RNAcentral.